Long non-coding RNA from Acomys russatus (golden spiny mouse), 1190 nucleotides. RefSeq lists it as uncharacterized. The record is from RefSeq and is a predicted model, not a curated record. NCBI's taxonomy places the organism in Eukaryota, Metazoa, Chordata, Mammalia, Rodentia, Muridae. The transcript is spliced from 4 exons.
ACUGAUGUUUUGUGUAAAAGUAAAACAUUCGUAAAAAGAAAAACCACAAGAAAUAUAAAACUGACAGACAAAACAAUUCUCACUUAAAGUCCCAAGUAUAUUGGAGUAAUUUUUGUUGUGAUGUCUGGGCCUAGGCCUCAUCAUCUCAGGACCCUCGGAGCAAGAGGGCUCCUACUAAGAGAGGCUGAAUUUUUAGCCAGAGUUGGCAAGCGGCUUCAUUAAAUGUCACGCCCUUUGCUAUGUUCUUAAAAUUGGCUCCUUUCUUUAAAGUCUUAUGUCUGUUAUACAAUUUUAAAGAACCAUUUCUGAUCCAGACGGUAGAUUUAUCUCUGGGAGGGGUGGGGGUAGGACGGGCACGUGUUUAAUUGGAGGUUGUGAAGUUCGGUGAGAUGAUAUUUUUAGGUUGGAACUCUCAAAUUCAUAUAUUUGGAUAUUUCUUCCGGUCUCACUCAACCUGUUUCCCCUGGUUCACUCAACCCUGCCUCUCUUUUUCCGCUCUUUCUUGCCUCUCUCUUCCUUCUUCCCUCUACAGCGCCUCUUCUCCUUUCCUCCCGCUUCUUCUGUUUUUCGCCUCUUUCUCUCUUCCCAGCACCCUUUCUUGUAUAAUUUAUUGUCUGAUUCUAUCAGUCAAGUUCAUAUGAAACUAGCAAGUAGGAGGCCCAGCACCCUAAUCUGGUCCUCUCCCCGACGCGCAUAAGAGACUUUAGGGAGCUGUUGGUAGCUACCAGGUCACGGACCAGCGCGGUGGCCCUAGGUGCAGAGCGCGCUGCUUGUGGAGGAGUUGGGGUCCGCCUAGGGUUGCGGGGCUUAUUCAAAUGCCGCCCGCUGCUGCUGUGAUUCGCAGGGACUCGGCCUCCAUAUGACGCCUAAAGGAGCCUGUUUGUGUGCUGUGGCCACGUUCUGCUGUGACUGGAUCUUGCCUUCCGCCUGGCUCCUCGAUUUUGAUCCGACUUGAUUUGGGAACAACACUGCCUGGCAAAGAGAGAUCAAAUGAGACAGACUUCAAAGAAGCAUAAAAUGCAUAGACUAUUCAAUCAAACAAAGACCGGGGCAGCAGUACGCCAGCAAGACGGCAUCUUCUCCCCACCCUAGAAGUCCUGAGAAAUCGAGGAUCUUCCCCUAAAACAUUCACAUACAAGAUCUGUGCGAUCAAGCUGCCAGCACUUGGUACAAAGCUCAUGAUGCCUAAC